GGUUGCGAUCAUACCAGCACUAAUGCACCGGAUCCCAUCAGAACUCCGCAGUUAAGCGUGCUUGGGCGAGAGUAGUACUAGGAUGGGUGACCCCCUGGGAAGUCCUCGUGUUCCAACCC
This 119-nucleotide ribosomal RNA is filed under the name Helianthus annuus (common sunflower). The record is from RNAcentral. Lineage: Eukaryota; Viridiplantae; Streptophyta; Magnoliopsida; Asterales; Asteraceae.